CCCUUAGAGUUUGAUCCUGGCUCAGAACGAACGCUGGCGGCAUGCCUAACACAUGCAAGUCGAACGAAGGCCCUAGCUUGCUAGGUGUCCUUAGUGGCGAACGGGUGAGUAACGCGUGGGAAUCUGCCAUAGAGUGGGGAACAACUUUUGGAAACGAAAGCUAAUACCGCAUACGCCCUCCGGGGGAAAGGCUUCGGCCGCUCUUUGAUGAUCCCGCGUCUGAUUAGCUUGUUGGUAGGGUAACGGCUUACCAAGGCGACGAUCAGUAGCUGGUCUGAGAGGAUGAUCAGCCACACUGGGACUGAGACACGGCCCAGACUCCUACGGGAGGCAGCAGUGGGGAAUAUUGGACAAUGGGGGAAACCCUGAUCCAGCAAUGCCGCGUGAGUGAAGAAGGCCUUAGGGUUGUAAAACUCUUUCGCCGGUGAAGAUGAUGACUGUAGCCGGUAAAGAAGCCCCGGCUAACUCCGUGCCAGCAGCCGCGGUAAUACGGAGGGGGCUAGCGUUGUUCGGAUUUACUGGGCGUAAAGCGCACGUAGGCGGCAUAUUAAGUUAGAGGUGAAAGGCCUGGGCUCAACCUAGGAACUGCCUUUAAUACUGGUAUGCUUGAGUUCGGAAGAGGGUAGUGGAAUUCCAAGUGUAGAGGUGAAAUUCGUAGAUAUUUGGAAGAACACCGGUGGCGAAGGCGGCUACCUGGUCCGAUACUG
RNAcentral lists this ribosomal RNA (707 nucleotides) under uncultured bacterium. Its description in RNAcentral is "bacterial SSU rRNA". It matches the Rfam family "Bacterial small subunit ribosomal RNA", at positions 1 to 742 of the family's 1533-position model. The record is from RNAcentral.